Molecule: ribosomal RNA, 468 nt
Filed under: uncultured bacterium
Lineage: Bacteria
Description: partial 16S ribosomal RNA
Rfam family: Bacterial small subunit ribosomal RNA
Source: RNAcentral
GACGAACGCUGGCGGCGUGCUUAACACAUGCAAGUCGAACGGAAAGGCCCUGCUUUUGUGGGGUGCUCGAGUGGCGAACGGGUGAGUAACACGUGAGUAACCUGCCCUUGACUUUGGGAUAACUUCAGGAAACUGGGGCUAAUACCGGAUAGGAGCUCCUGCUGCAUGGUGGGGGUUGGAAAGUUUCGGCGGUUGGGGAUGGACUCGCGGCUUAUCAGCUUGUUGGUGGGGUAGUGGCUUACCAAGGCUUUGACGGGUAGCCGGCCUGAGAGGGUGACCGGCCACAUUGGGACUGAGAUACGGCCCAGACUCCUACGGGAGGCAGCAGUGGGGAAUAUUGCACAAUGGGCGGAAGCCUGAUGCAGCAACGCCGCGUGCGGGAUGACGGCCUUCGGGUUGUAUACCGCUUUCGCCUGUGACGAAGCGUGAGUGACGGUAAUGGGUAAAGAAGCGCCGGCUAACUACGUG